This is a long non-coding RNA of Juglans microcarpa x Juglans regia, 626 nucleotides long. RefSeq lists it as uncharacterized. Lineage: Eukaryota; Viridiplantae; Streptophyta; Magnoliopsida; Fagales; Juglandaceae. The record is from RefSeq and is a predicted model, not a curated record. The transcript is spliced from 2 exons.
UAUUCAGAAAAUGGCUGAAAACCUUUAGUGUUGGUAGCUCUUGUAUCCAGGUACGGCUUUUGGGCUAUGAAACUAGAAGAAAGUUUUGGCUUUUGGCCCUCGCAUAUGUUGUCUGCGUCUGGUUUCUGCCAAGAAAUCACAUCAAUAGCGACCAUUGCUGAGUGUAUUCGGAGCUUGGUACUCUCUCUAAUUUUGUAUAUGAUUGUAUUCAGGUACCAUCACUUCCAUUCCUUUGUGAUGAAGUCAUUAACAGUGCUUCCAGGUUUUGGUUUUGGCCUAGGAAUGAAGAGCAGGAACCGAAUCUAGCAAAAAUAAGGGAGUUUGCCACCCGACCGGUUGGACUGGGAGCGUCUCUCUAAAGAUAAUGGAAAGCUGAUGAGCUCAUGCAUUUAUCAUUGGAAGGUGUAAAAGUGGUUUUUCUACCUCAUCCGGCCUGCAGCGUCUCUCUUGCAAAAGUCCCACCACACAAGUUGAUGGGAGUUUCUUAUUCAUUAGUUUUCCUCAAGAAAGAAAAAUUAGACACUGGGAUUCUAAAUAAUGUAAAAUAAACUUUGGUGCCUUACUAAACAUAUUCAAGCAACCUUUGACAGCCAAGAUUUAAUUAAUAUUAUUUAAAAUUCUAAAAA